Molecule: transfer RNA, 71 nt
Filed under: Solirubrobacteraceae bacterium
Lineage: Bacteria; Bacillati; Actinomycetota; Thermoleophilia; Solirubrobacterales; Solirubrobacteraceae
Also listed under: 2 other names
Description: tRNA-Gln
Rfam family: tRNA
About the family: Transfer RNA (tRNA) molecules are approximately 80 nucleotides in length.
Source: RNAcentral
UGCGGGGUCAUCUAGCGGCAGGAUGCGUGCCUCUGGAGCACGUCACGAAGGUUCGAAUCCUUCCCCCGCAG